CGUACACUCCUACGGGAGGCAGCAUUGGGGAAUAUUGGACAAUGGGCGCAAGCCUGAUCCAGCCAUGCCGCGUGAGUGAUGAAGGCCCUAGGGUUGUAAAGCUCUUUCACCGGUGAAGAUAAUGACGGUAACCGGAGAAGAAGCCCCGACUAACUUCGUGCCAGCAGCCGCGGUAAUACGAAGGGGGCUAGCGUUGUUCGGAUUUACUGGGCGUAAAGCGCACGUAGGCGGACUAUUAAGUCAGGGGUGAAAUCCCGGGGCUCAACCCCGGAACUGCCUUUGAUACUGGUAGUCUUGAGUUCGAGAGAGGUGAGUGGAAUUCCGAGUGUAGAGGUGAAAUUCGUAGAUAUUCGGAGGAACACCAGUGGCGAAGGCGGCUCACUGGCUCGAUACUGACGCUGAGGUGCGAAAGCGUGGGGAGCAAACAGGAUUAGAUACCCUUGUAGUCCCAUGAU
Molecule: ribosomal RNA, 455 nt
Filed under: uncultured organism
Description: partial 16S ribosomal RNA
Rfam family: Bacterial small subunit ribosomal RNA
Source: RNAcentral